Molecule: ribosomal RNA, 380 nt
Filed under: uncultured eukaryote
Lineage: Eukaryota
Description: partial 18S ribosomal RNA
Rfam family: Eukaryotic small subunit ribosomal RNA
Source: RNAcentral
CGAUAGCGUAUAUUAAAGUUGUUGCAGUUAGAACGCUCGUAGUCGGAUUUCGGGGCGGGCCGACCGGUCUGCCGAUGGGUACGCACUGGUCGGCGCGUCCUUCCUUCCGGAGACCGUGCCUACUCUUAACUGAGCGGGGGCGGGAGACGGAUCGUUUACUUUGAAAAAAUCAGAGUGUUUCAAGCAGGCAGCUCGCUCUUGCAUGGAUUAGCAUGGGAUAAUGAAAUAGGACUUUGGUGCUAUUUUGUUGGUUUCGAACACCGAAGUAAUGAUUAAAAGGGACAGUCAGGGGCACUCGUAUUCCGCAGAGAGAGGUGAAAUUCUCAGACCCGCGGAAGACGAACCACUGCGAAAGCAUUUGCCAGGGAUGUUUUCACUGA